RNAcentral lists this long non-coding RNA (314 nucleotides) under Populus tremula. RNAcentral's name for it is "long non-coding RNA (PTRE_LNC001538)". The record is from RNAcentral. Lineage: Eukaryota; Viridiplantae; Streptophyta; Magnoliopsida; Malpighiales; Salicaceae.
CUCUCUGCAUCUCCCCCUCAUCUCUCCUCUCUUAUUUUUCUUCAUGCUCGGCUCCAUGAUUGUUGCUUAUUAGUUGUUGAGCUCCUGCUUCAUGCUCCUUUACUUAAGCUCCAUCUCUUUCAGCCGCCCCCUCUCCUUGUUCUCUGUCUCUUAUCCCUCAAAGAUUUGAGUCAAAUCUGUCUUAUUCUCUUCCAUGCUCUUUAUCUCUGUCUCUCAUCUCUUAGAUCUGCAUGUUCUUGGCCCAAAUGUUGUGGCGCUUGAUAGUUUUAGUAGGUUCAUUUCUCAGAUCAUGCUUUUGUUCAAUUCUUUCCCUG